RNAcentral lists this unclassified non-coding RNA (240 nucleotides) under soil metagenome. Its description in RNAcentral is "partial contains 5.8S ribosomal RNA, internal transcribed spacer 2, and large subunit ribosomal RNA". The record is from RNAcentral.
AAGACUAUAGACCUGCGGAGUACCUGCGGAAGGAUCAUUAACGUAUCUAUGAUGGGGUGCGGAGCGCCCUGCUCCGGUCGAACGGCCGUGCAGCGGGUGCGCCGCCCCCGUCCCACCUCACAAACCCACUGUGAACAUUCACCGGUGGAGGGGGCUCGGUCUGCGCCGUGUCCCCGAUGCCGAAUACCCGAACUCCAGUUGCAAAGAACGUCGUGCGGACUCGGUGCCGCCUAAAACAUG